RNAcentral lists this ribosomal RNA (816 nucleotides) under Triticum aestivum (bread wheat). RNAcentral's name for it is "partial small subunit ribosomal RNA". Lineage: Eukaryota; Viridiplantae; Streptophyta; Magnoliopsida; Poales; Poaceae. The record is from RNAcentral.
AUGAGUUGCAGUGACCACAUACACAAGCUUAUGGACUCUUCUCAGGUGGCAGAAGGUUGCUGCAUGGACAUUUCAGCGGUCGAUCAGCAUGGUUGCUCAUCAAAAAUGAAGCAAGUGGCCACAUUUGGUAGUUUUGGGAUAUCUAAGUCUGGUAAAGACAUAUCUGAAUUGGACCAGCACCUUAUUCUUCAGACAAAUAUGUGCCACCUAGAUCAUGGAACUCGACUGAUGGUCAGUCGAUCGGGAGUAUAUGCACCUUCUAUUUCUCUUGAAGAUCAAGCUGCAGAUAAUGCAUUGACAAACAGUAGUCGACGUAAGCGACAACGUGGCACUAAGUGGUACUCAAACUUGGCAACUGAACAAAAAGAAGCAUACUUACAAAGGAAUCGUGACUAUAAGAAAAGAAGAAAUUCUCAUGGAGUGGGUUGUAGUAACGCACAUGAUACAACUGACAAGGCAAGUUGUAAUACACAUAAUGUAACUGGACAGACUGACAACUUGGUUCAUCAACAUAUGCCUAUGGAAAUUCAAGAGCAUAAUGAUCAUGAAUCUGAAGACACAAUCUACAUGCCAACUGAUUUUUUUCCUGCUAUCCAAGAUAAAAUUGGGGAAAUUGGAGAUGAUAUAAUAGGUGAAUAUGGGCAAACCAAAUAUAUGCUUGAAGGCGAUGAUGAAGAUUGUGAUAGCUGUUUAUUCGGCGAAGGAGGUAAGUAUUUUAGUAUAUAUCUUGUCAAAUGGAGAAAAAAAACAGAUAUUGGUAUCGAGGUAACUAUUAUACUAUUUUCUCACUUCCAAAUAACAAUGGACAUGUUCUGA